GGCGGUGGUGUUGGCUGUGAACGAAAAAAAAGAAAAGGGGAGGGGAGGCUGUGUUCCACGCUAGAGAAGAAGGACAAAGAAGAAGAAAAGAAAUUUUGGGUUUCUAGACUAUUCCGAUUCAAUUCGAAUCGGUUUGGUCCAAUUCAAUGAUUCGGUUCGAUUUGCUUGGUUUUCUAAUCCGAUUUGAUUUAUUUUGAUUCUUUUA
Molecule: long non-coding RNA, 205 nt
Filed under: Jatropha curcas
Lineage: Eukaryota; Viridiplantae; Streptophyta; Magnoliopsida; Malpighiales; Euphorbiaceae
Description: long non-coding RNA (JCUR_LNC002279)
Source: RNAcentral